RNAcentral lists this ribosomal RNA (468 nucleotides) under uncultured bacterium. RNAcentral describes it as "partial 16S ribosomal RNA". It matches the Rfam family "Bacterial small subunit ribosomal RNA", at positions 28 to 507 of the family's 1533-position model. The record is from RNAcentral.
GACGAACGCUGGCGGCGUGCUUAACACAUGCAAGUCGAACGGAAAGGCCCUGCUUUUGUGGGGUGCUCGAGUGGCGAACGGGUGAGUAACACGUGAGUAACCUGCCCUUGACUUUGGGAUAACUUCAGGAAACUGGGGCUAAUACCGGAUAGGAGCUCCUGCUGCAUGGUGGGGGUUGGAAAGUUUCGGCGGUUGGGGAUGGACUCGCGGCUUAUCGGCUUGUUGGUGGGGUAGUGGCUGACCAAGGCUUUGACGGGUAGCCGGCAUGGGAGGGUGACCGGCGACAAUGGGACUGAGAGACGGCCCAGAGUGCUACGGGAGGCAGCAGUGGGGAAUAUGGCACAAUGGGCGGAAGUCUGAUGCAGCAACGUCGCGGGCGGGAUGACGGCUUUUGGGUAGAAAACCGCUUUCGCCUGUGACGAAGCGGGAGUGACGGUAAUGGGUAAAGAAGCACCGGCUAACUACGUG